AGCAAAGCAGUCAUGUUUUAAAUGUGGUCUGUGUACUGGUGCCAGACGGUGAACUUUGCCACCAGCUUUUGAUGGGAUAAAUACAAACAGGCAGGGCUUGUGGCAGCAGAGAUGAUCAGUAAGAAUCUGGGUCUCCCGAAAAUGAGACGACGUUAAGCAGUCUGUGCUAAGCUGUACAAUGCUGUACAAGUUUGGAGGAGGAAGUAUCGGAGUAGACCAGACGACGAAGAAAGGCUUCUUAAGAGAGAGAGGCCUUGAAGAGUCUGAGGAUUCAGAUAAGAAAACAGGGAACAUGAUGGCACUUUAGGCAGGAUGGGAAUAUCGUAGGUAAAGACAGAAUUAAGAGGCCUUAAGGUAGGAGUAAAGGUUCUAUAUUGGGGAGGAAUGGAAUUACAGCUGCCAGAAUGAGAGUUUGAUUUCUUUAUACAUGUCACAAUGAUAAGUACUUAUAACAGGGAACCUACCAUGUGCCUGCCAGGGGCUUUCAUAAAAAAUACCACCAAUCCUCAUGCUAUCCUUGUGAAACAGGUGUUAUUUUAGAUGUACGAAAACUGAGGCUUAGAGAAUUAAGGAAACAUGCCCAAGGCAACACAGCUAAUAGGUGGGUAAACUGGGAUUCAAACCUAGGUUGGCCUGAUUCUGAAGCCUGAGGUUCCCUUUCUAUUACUCCAUGCCACCUCCUAAUGGGCCAGAGAGCUUUCCACAUUAUCAGCCUGAUGCUUCUGUCUGAAUCUCCUCCCAGCUCAAAUGGGGACUUUUGGUCAGACAGCAAGAGCAGCUGACUUUUCUAGCUCUAACCCUCUAAGGUCUGGGGACCCUAAAUCCCUGAGGACUAAGUAAUUUCAAGGAAACUGUUCUGUGUGGGCCCUGUGAGCACAGGCUGGCCUCUGUAUUUAGGCCUGCUUUGGAUCUCACAGAAUCUCCCUUUAGUUACUGCAGCAAAGCUGGUGGCAAGUACAGCCUAAGAAAACCGGAUGGGGCUGGGCGCGGUAGCUCAUGCCUGUAAUCCCAGCACUUUGGGAGGCCGAGGCGGGCGGAUCACCUGAGAUCGGGAGUUUGAGACUAGCCUGACCAACAUGGAGAAACCCUACCUCUACUAAAAAAAAUACAAAUUUAGCUGGGUGUGGUGGCACACGCCUGUGAUCCUAGCUACUUGGGAGGCUGAAGGUAGGAGAAUCGCUUGAAGGCGGAGGUUGUGGCAAGCCGAGAUCGCGCCAUUGCACUCCAGCCUGGGCAAUAAGAGCGAAAAUCUGUCUCAAUUAAAAAAAAAAAAAAAAGCCAGCCAGAUGGGCAGGAAGGUAGGCUCCCUUGCCUUUCCUGAAACCCUUUGGAGAGGGUCAGCUGAGGUCAAAAGACUCUGGAAAUAUUACUGGCAACAGCCCCUAGAAUGAUAGAGCAGGAUCCUGCCUCUCGGUUGGCUGGUCACACACACAGGCAGACCAAGGGAGGUCAAGGGGGAAGGGAGGUCAGAAGUUGGCAGCCUGCAGGCCCUGAGUGACGGCAACUUGUUCAGGGUUGGGAGGGAGAAAUAGUGGGUUAAUGGUUUUGGCCCUUGAGGCUGGGAGGCUAGGGCAAGGGGUGUAAAUGUAUGCUGGCUAAAAAGGCAGGUGGGAGAAAUGUAAAGGUGGGGGCUAAGGGCAUCUGUUCCAAGUCAACAGGCAGGAACCAUGCCCCUGGAACGGCUCAAAGGGCCAGCCUUGGCCUGGGGGUGAGGAUAGAGGGAGUUUCAUAAAAGGCCCUCGUCUUUUCAUUUCAAAGGUGUUCGAUCUAGAAGGCUAGGAAGAGGGGCUCCUUAUAAAGUGAAUUCUCUUGUCUGGGGGUUGGGGGAAGCAGAGAAUGUAAACUACUGGACAAUAGCUGGGAGUAUUGAUUGAUUUUAAGGCACGGCAGAGAUAAUGUCCUUGGUGAACACUCCAAUUCUUAGCUACAAAUGUCUUGCCACAGAGUUUUCCAACGGACAAAGGAAGAAGCUUUCUGCUUGGGGAUGUUUUCUAAGUCUCUGCUUCUGAGAACAGCAAGUUCUCGCUCCAGAAGCAUCAGUCAUCCCAAGAACUGCUGCCACAUCCACAAGUAGUCCUGCCCUUCAGUGGCUGUGCCCUAGAACAAAGCAUAUUCUGGCUGCUCUGGGGCAGGUCCCUUGUAGGCUUGGGGAUACAGGCCAGGCCUGGGUUUUAAGCUAGCAUGGCUGUGGCUGACAGAAAGUGGCAAGAUUACGUGCGUGUUCCUGGGAAGUUCCCAGAGGCCAAUGAGAAGAUGAUCUGGGGAUGCUGGGCCUGUGGAGGCAAAGGCUCUGGGACUGAAAGAACUUUCUUUGAAGACUGGUAUUUGGAAAAGUGACUAGGUAGCAAAAGACAGUUGGCAUAAGUUAUAGAGAAGACCACAGCUCAUUAAAAAGAUGUUUCAACCAUGCCGGGCGCAGUGGCCCAGCACUUAGGGAGGCUGAGGCGGGUGGAUCACCUGAGGUUGAGAGUUCGAGACCAGCCUGACCAACAUGGAGAAACCCUGUCUCUACUAAAAAUACAAUAUUAGCCAGAUGUGGUGGAACAUGCCUGUAAUCCCAGCUACUCGGGAGGCUGAGGUAGGAGAAUUGCUUGAACCCGGGAGGCAGAGGUCACGGUAAGCCAAGAUUGUGCCAUUGCACUCCAGCCUGGGCAACAAAAGCAAAACUCCGUGUCCCAGAAAAAAAAAAAAAAAAAAAAAAAAAGGUUUCAACCAGUCUCCCUGGGGAAGAAGGAGGUUCCUUCUGUCUCUGAAAAAUGUCAGCUAGCCAGCUGUUGGAGAGGGUUCUGCUGGAAGAGAGGCAGGCAAUCAUCAGAGUGGCCCAGAGACCUUUGAGGACCUUUCCAGUGCUCAGGUUCUAUGAAGAAUGAUCCCAACAAGGAAGACCCUGGGGUCUAGCCCCAAGAGAGGAUCCCUGGCCCUCAAAAAGCACCAGAGGAGGCAUGAACAGGCAGUCAUGUGCC
This is a long non-coding RNA of Homo sapiens (human), 2963 nucleotides long. RefSeq lists it as uncharacterized. Lineage: Eukaryota; Metazoa; Chordata; Mammalia; Primates; Hominidae. The transcript is spliced from 3 exons. The record is from RefSeq and is a predicted model, not a curated record.